UGUUGAAGCUGGAAGGGUUUGGGUG
RNAcentral lists this unclassified non-coding RNA (25 nucleotides) under Mus musculus (house mouse). Its description in RNAcentral is "oocyte_clustered_small_RNA6749". The record is from RNAcentral. Lineage: Eukaryota; Metazoa; Chordata; Mammalia; Rodentia; Muridae.